RNAcentral lists this ribosomal RNA (436 nucleotides) under uncultured organism. Its description in RNAcentral is "bacterial SSU rRNA". It matches the Rfam family "Bacterial small subunit ribosomal RNA", at positions 346 to 794 of the family's 1533-position model. The record is from RNAcentral.
GCGCACCAGGCGCGAAUCUUCCGCAAUGGACGAAAGUCUGACGGAGCGAUACAGCGUGGUGGAUGAAGUACUUCGGUACGUAAACACCUUUUAUGUGGGACGAAAUAAUUGACGGUACCACAUGAAUAAGGGGCUCCUAACUCUGUGCCAGCAGGAGCGGUAAUACAGAGGCCCCGAGCGUUAUCCGGAAUCAUUGGGCGGUAAAGGGUAGUCGAGGCGGUCAUGUUAGUCGUGUGUAAAAUACCGGAGGCUCAACCUCCGGCCCGCACACGAAACGGCAUGACUCGAGGUUGGAAGAGGUGCGUGGAACUCACGGUGUAGGGUGAAAUCCGUUGAUAUCGUGGGGAACACCAAAGGCGAAGGCAGCGCACUGGUCCAAAUCUGACGCUCACACACGAAAGCCAGGGUAGCGAAUGGGAUUAGAUACCCGCGUAGU